This 449-nucleotide ribosomal RNA is filed under the name uncultured bacterium. RNAcentral's name for it is "partial 16S ribosomal RNA". It matches the Rfam family "Bacterial small subunit ribosomal RNA", at positions 354 to 795 of the family's 1533-position model. The record is from RNAcentral.
GUGGGGAAUUUUGGACAAUGGGGGCAACCCUGAUCCAGCCAUCCCGCGUGUGCGAUGAAGGCCUUCGGGUUGUAAAGCACUUUUGGCAGGAAAGAAAUCGCACGGGAUAAUACCUCGUGUGGAUGACGGUACCUGCAGAAUAAGCACCGGCUAACUACGUGCCAGCAGCCGCGGUAAUACGUAGGGUGCAAGCGUUAAUCGGAAUUACUGGGCGUAAAGCGUGCGCAGGCGGUUCGGAAAGAAAGAUGUGAAAUCCCAGGGCUUAACCUUGGAACUGCAUUUUUAACUACCGGGCUAGAGUGUGUCAGAGGGGGGUGGAAUUCCGCGUGUAGCAGUGAAAUGCGUAGAUAUGCGGAGGAACACCGAUGGCGAAGGCAGCCCCCUGGGAUAACACUGACGCUCAUGCACGAAAGCGUGGGGAGCAAACAGGAUUAGAUACCCGGGUAGCC